Molecule: ribosomal RNA, 481 nt
Filed under: uncultured bacterium
Lineage: Bacteria
Description: partial 16S ribosomal RNA
Rfam family: Bacterial small subunit ribosomal RNA
Source: RNAcentral
AUGAACGCUGGCGGCGUGCCUAAUCCAUGCAAGUCGAACGCUUCACUUCGGUGAAGAGUGGCGAACGGGUGAGUAAUACAUAAGUAACCUGGCAUCUACAGGGGGAUAACUGAUGGAAACGUCAGCUAAGACCGCAUAGGUGUAGAGAUCGCAUGAACUCUAUAUGAAAAGUGCUACGGGACUGGUAGAUGAUGGACUUAUGGCGCAUUAGCUUGUUGGUAGGGUAACGGCCUACCAAGGCGACGAUGCGUAGCCGACCUGAGAGGGUGACCGGCCACACUGGGACUGAGACACGGCCCAGACUCCUACGGGAGGCAGCAGUAGGGAAUUUUCGGCAAUGGGGGAAACCCUGACCGAGCAACGCCGCGUGAAGGAAGAAGUAAUUCGUUAUGUAAACUUCUGUCAUAGAGGAAGAACGGUGGAUAUAGGGAAUGAUAUCCAAGUGACGGUACUCUAUAAGAAAGCCACGGCUAACUACGUG